Molecule: long non-coding RNA, 952 nt
Filed under: Homo sapiens (human)
Lineage: Eukaryota; Metazoa; Chordata; Mammalia; Primates; Hominidae
Description: DPPA2 upstream binding RNA
Source: RNAcentral
AAAGUUGCAGACAGCCCGGCGAACCGCGCAAUGCGCUUCUUCUGCCUGCAGCAGAGAAAAGGAAAGAAAACUCCGCAGGGGCUCCGUUGGCUUCUCCACGAGUGACAACCAUGUUUUCCCAGAUAGAAGACCGGAGCCCUGCUCCUUUGCGAUCCGCCGAGGGCUGCAGAGAGCAUCCUCAUCCAUUUGGGCACCCCUGCCCAGGAAGAGCCCGGCCAUCCCUUUCCGGACUGGAUCCUUAAGAGGUGAAUUUUCUUCCGUGGAUUCCGAUUUGCUCCGUCUGACCAGCCUAGGCAAUCCAGCAUCGCGUGGUACCAGUGCCGCUGGGCACACUGGCUUCACGCCGGCUCCGCCUCACCAGCAAGCGCAUUCCCAGGUGGUCAGGCUCAGGAUGGACCAUGAGCUUUCAAAAAGGAAAAAGAAACAAUCGUGAAUUGUUUGGUGAAAAAUGAAAAAAUAACCAUUUCUUAUGUCUCCGUGACCUUUAUAGACCAAUGUCACCAACUUUUCCUAAGCUUUUUCUGGAGGAAAUUCGCAUUUGAAUUGAUGGACUGAAUAAAGCAGAUUGCAGUCCCCAGUGUGGAUGGGCUUGAUCCAGUCUUCUAAGGACCCAAAUAAAAUAGGUGGAGGAAGCUUGAAUUUUCUGCCUGACUGUGGCGCUGGGACACCCAUCUUCUCCUGCCCUUGAACUGGGACUGACACCAUCAGUGCUCCUGGUUCUCAGACCUUCGGACAGCAGACUUGGGGCCUUCUCGGCCUCCAUUAUUGUCUGCUUUUAGAUAUUUAACGGGAGAGGAAAAGAGAAAAUAUGAUUAAAGCCUUUGAAAGUCCAUUUCCAAGAAAUAAAAACUGCAGUAGGAAUUCUACAAAACUGAAAAAUCUUCAGGACUGGAAGAUCUAUCCAGAAAAGCCCAGUGGAUUAUAAUAACUUAUUAAAAUAUUUGUUUGGCAA